AUGAACGCUGGCGGCGUGCCUAAUACAUGCAAGUCGAGCGAACAGACGAGGAGCUUGCUCCUCUGACGUUAGCGGCGGACGGGUGAGUAACACGUGGAUAACCUACCUAUAAGACUGGGAUAACUUCGGGAAACCGGAGCUAAUACCGGAUAAUAUAUUGAACCGCAUGGUUCAAUAGUGAAAGACGGUUUUGCUGUCACUUAUAGAUGGAUCCGCGCCGCAUUAGCUAGUUGGUAAGGUAACGGCUUACCAAGGCAACGAUGCGUAGCCGACCUGAGAGGGUGAUCGGCCACACUGGAACUGAGACACGGACCAGACUCCUACGGGAGGCAGCAGUAGGGAAUCUUCCGCAAUGGGCGAAAGCCUGACGGAGCAACGCCGCGUGAGUGAUGAAGGUCUUCGGAUCGUAAAACUCUGUUAUUAGGGAAGAACAAAUGUGUAAGUAACUAUGCACGUCUUGACGGUACCUAAUCAGAAAGCCACGGCUAACUACGUG
Molecule: ribosomal RNA, 496 nt
Filed under: uncultured bacterium
Lineage: Bacteria
Description: partial 16S ribosomal RNA
Rfam family: Bacterial small subunit ribosomal RNA
Source: RNAcentral